AUGAUUGGACGGGGAGGCUUUGGCAAAGUUUACAAGGGAACACUAGGCGAUCAGGAAAUUGCUGUCAAACGGCUAAAUAAGGAUUCUCAACAAGGAACAAAUGAAUUCAGAAAUGAAGUAAUACUUAUUGCCAAACUUCAACAUAGAAAUUUGGUUCGACUUCUUGGAUGUUGUGACGAGGGAGAUGAAAAGUUGUUGAUUUAUGAGUAUUUGUCUAAUAGAAGCUUAGAUGCCACCCUUUUCGAUGAUUCAAGGAAAUUGUUGCUGGAUUGGGGAACACGUUUAAAUAUAAUCAAAGGUGUCGCCAGGGGGCUUCUUUAUCUCCACCAAGAUUCAAGGCCGACCAUAAUUCACAGAGAUCUCAAAGCCGGAAAUGUUUUGCUAGAUGCACAGAUGAAGCCCAAGAUGGCAGAUUUUGGUAUGGCGAGGAUCUUCGGUGAUAACCAGGAAAACGCAAACACCCAACAUGUCGUCGGAACAUAUGGCUACAUGGCUCCCGAGUACGCAAUGGAAGGCGUCAUCUCUACCAAGUCCGACAUCUAUAGUUUUGGCGUGUUGCUAUUGGAGAUUGUAACCGGAUGA
RNAcentral lists this ribosomal RNA (582 nucleotides) under Triticum aestivum (bread wheat). Its description in RNAcentral is "partial small subunit ribosomal RNA". Lineage: Eukaryota; Viridiplantae; Streptophyta; Magnoliopsida; Poales; Poaceae. The record is from RNAcentral.